This 407-nucleotide ribosomal RNA is filed under the name uncultured bacterium. RNAcentral's name for it is "partial 16S ribosomal RNA". It matches the Rfam family "Bacterial small subunit ribosomal RNA", at positions 28 to 526 of the family's 1533-position model. The record is from RNAcentral.
GACGAACGCUGGCGGCGUGCCUAAUACAUGCAAGUAGGACGCAGUUGCGAACGGGUGAGUAACGCGUAGGUAACUACCUAUUAGAGGGGGAUAACUAUUGGAAACGAUAGCUAAUACCGCAUACUAGUAGAUGGACCUGCGUUGUAUUAGCUAGUAGGUAGGGUAAUGGCCUACCUAGGCAACGAUACAUAGCCGACCUUGGGAGGGUAACGGGCAACCUGGGACUGGGGAACGGCCCCGACCCCUACCGGAGGCAGCAGGAGGGAAUCAUCGGAAAAGGGGGGAACCCCGACCGAGUAACGCCGCGUGAGUGAAGAAGGUGUUCGGAUCGUAAAGCUCUGUUGUUAAGGAAGCGGUACUUAACCAGAAAGGGACGGCUAACUACGUGCCAGCAGCCGCGGUAAUAC